UUUCCGUAGGUGAACCUGCGGAAGGAUCAUUAUUACGUAUCCAACGUAUAAACCCAACGUGAACUGUAUUCGCUCAGAGUUUGAGGCAAUGGCUGGUCACAUUAAAGUCUCUUUGUUAGUGAUAGAGACUGUGAUUCGUGCCGCUACAGCGGGCACCUAGUGCCUUAUGUGGGCCUUUUACUCUGAGCGAAUACAGUUCACGUUGGGUUUAUACGUUGGAUACGUAAUAAACCUGAUGGGUUGUUGCUGGUUCUCCAGGGAGCAUGUGCACGCCUUGUCAUCUUUAUAUCUCCACCUGUGCACCUUUUGUAGACUCUUGUCUAUGUUGCUUCAUUUGCCCCAAUGUAUGUUAAUAGAAUGUUUGUCCCUAUAAAAUAUAUACAACUUUCAGCAACGGAUCUCUUGGCUCUC
RNAcentral lists this unclassified non-coding RNA (411 nucleotides) under soil metagenome. Its description in RNAcentral is "partial contains small subunit ribosomal RNA, internal transcribed spacer 1, and 5.8S ribosomal RNA". The record is from RNAcentral.